This 468-nucleotide ribosomal RNA is filed under the name uncultured bacterium. RNAcentral describes it as "partial 16S ribosomal RNA". It matches the Rfam family "Bacterial small subunit ribosomal RNA", at positions 28 to 507 of the family's 1533-position model. The record is from RNAcentral.
GACGAACGCUGGCGGCGUGCUUAACACAUGCAAGUCGAACGGAAAGGCCCUGCUUUUGUGGGGUGCUCGAGUGGCGAACGGGUGAGUAACACGUGAGUAACCUGCCCUUGACUUUGGGAUAACUUCAGGAAACUGGGGCUAAUACCGGAUAGGAGCUCCUGCUGCAUGGUGGGGGUUGGAAAGUUUCGGCGGUUGGGGAUGGACUCGCGGCUUAUCAGCUUGUUGGUGGGGUAGUGGCUUACCAAGGCUUUGACGGGUAGCCGGCCUGAGAGGGUGACCGGCCACAUUGGGACUGAGAUACGGCCCAGACUGCAACGGGAGGCAGCAGUGGGGAAUAUUGCACAAUGGGCGGAAGCCUGAUGCAGCAACGCCGCGUGCGGGAUGACGGCCUUCGGGUUGUAAACCGAUUUCGCCUGUGACGAAGCGUGAGUGACGGUAAUGGGUAAAGAAGCACCGGCUAACUACGUG